GGCACAGGAGGUGAGGGAAUCACUUCUGAGGCGGCUUCCCUAAAAGAAAGGUCAGCCACAAGGUCACUCCCCAUGGACCAGAGCUCAGGUCUGGUUUCUUUUGCAAUGUCCCUACCCCUCAGGAGCUGACUGCAAGCUCACACAGGUGAUGUUCCUUAAAUCCUUAACUCCCAGAAGGACAGAAUUGCAUCAGAACCUCCACUUUCAGCUCACCUCAGCUCACCUCAUCUCAUCUCUUACCUGGGCCAAGACAAGUGCUGCCCAUCUCACCCUUCAUGGAGAACACUGGACAAGAGGAGUCGAGGCCACCACCCUGUCUGCUGUGAGCUUCCCAGCUUGUCCACCUGGGAAUUGUAAAAUUCCAUGUACAGACCAUGACUUGUGA
Molecule: long non-coding RNA, 385 nt
Filed under: Serinus canaria (Common canary)
Lineage: Eukaryota; Metazoa; Chordata; Aves; Passeriformes; Fringillidae
Description: lncRNA (ENSSCAG00000010409.1)
Source: RNAcentral